Molecule: long non-coding RNA, 602 nt
Organism: Brienomyrus brachyistius
Lineage: Eukaryota; Metazoa; Chordata; Actinopteri; Osteoglossiformes; Mormyridae
Exons: 3
Source: RefSeq, a predicted model, not a curated record
ACCAGCACGCCCCCCUCUCGGACACGGAGAACAACAAAGAUUUGUGGUGGGUCUGCUGUACGCGCGCGCACACGCCCGCCCCGCCAGAUUCGCCCUUAUCUCAUUCAUUCGCCUACCAUAUUUCUGGUGACGGCCACAACGGGUUUCUUUGCAAGCCGCCGGUUGUGCCAGGGUGUCGCCAAAGAACCGCGUUUACUGGCGGCAAACUGUGAUGUUUCUAAUUAUCAAACGCUUUAUGACAUCGCUGUCGUGCGGAGAACGGCCGCCGUUUGAUUGGCAAGCGUCGCCGGUAAGAGCGUUGCCGCGGUGACGUGCGUCAAGCUGUUCCGACAAUGGGCGGCAGAAUCUUUAGAGGACAGCGAGAAGAGGAGAAAUUCAAACAGACCCUUAAGAACCGGCCGAAGAGAUGAGGGACAAGUUUAAGAGGGUCGUUUACCGCCGGCAAGCAUCGCAUGUAAAGGUGGCACCAUCGCAGGAGAGUUUAAUCAUCGCUGGGCCGUCCAGAGUGUUCUGCUGCUCUGAAUAUUUAUUUUCACCAUGUGACUGAUGGAUGAAACUCGUAAUUAGCACCAAAGGGACAACUCUGAAUUUAAUGCUGAAAU